AUCUUGCUCUGCAUCACUUCUACCCCAAAUGCCAGGUUCAUAUGAAUCCUAACAACUGAAAAUACUGACCUAAGCAAGAUGGUGACGAAAUGGGUUGCGAGCAGACUGAAGCUGAUGAUGAAAUAAAGGAACAGCAAGUGUCUGUCUGGCUCAUUCAACCCAAAAAUUUGAUUCAAAUUAGAUGCUUAGUCACUGGGAGAAAAGAGGAAAAAAAAAACAAACAAACAAGGAGGAGUCAGUGUAUGGGAAGAGAAGACUACAGCCAUCAUUUCAAGAGAGAAAAAUGGCUCCCCAGCUCCAUAGCCAGGCUGACAAUCAAGGAACAAGAGAAUGUAGGAUCUUGGGAGUCCUCCCCUGCAAGCCCCAGUUUCAUGUCAUCCUGCCAGGUGGGUUCCAGAGAAGCUGGGACUUGGAGCUUGCCGCAGCCUGGUAGGGCCAUGCAUCUGGGAACCCCAAGUUUCUGGAAGCUCCUGCUGCUGGUAGGCUCCGGAAUGAGAUGCUGUGAAGCUGGAAUUUUGGUUGCUAAUGUCUGACACAAAACAGGAACUACUAUUUGACCUGCAAUAAAACCAACAUCUCCUCAGGGUGCUUCUUUGUU
This 598-nucleotide long non-coding RNA is filed under the name Apteryx rowi (Okarito brown kiwi). Its description in RNAcentral is "lncRNA (ENSARWG00000002086.1)". Lineage: Eukaryota; Metazoa; Chordata; Aves; Apterygiformes; Apterygidae. The record is from RNAcentral.